Molecule: long non-coding RNA, 602 nt
Organism: Homo sapiens (human)
Lineage: Eukaryota; Metazoa; Chordata; Mammalia; Primates; Hominidae
Gene: FENDRR
Product: FOXF1 adjacent non-coding developmental regulatory RNA
Source: Ensembl
GGUAAAACUGCCCAGGCCCCGGGUAUCAGGAUCAUACUCAAACCCCAACCCCUGCCCGCCCCAGCCAGGAGGGGAGACGGUUGGGAGUGGGAGGCCUCGGCGCUGUUCUCUGGAUGCAACUGAGAUUGCCGCUAGAGGGUGACGCCUGGGUCGGAAUCCAAGGAUUUGUGAAGAGGUGACCCAAAUUUCAAGACAAUGUUGGAUGCAAACGGAUUUGCCAGCAACUGCAUCACUGUCAAAACCAGCUCUGCCCGUGUCUUCCGAAGAUACCAAGUGAAAUACAUGUAGAUGGGAUUUACAUCUGAAAAACCAAGUGAGAAACUGAAGACCAGAGAGGGUGAGUGGUUUACUCAGUUUGGCACAACUGACCCCAACCUAGCCCUCCAUGAGGACUGAGCGCAUGAGAGAUCCUGAGCCACAGCCGCCCAGCCCUGCUCCUCUCGAAUUUCUGACCUACAGGAACUGCAAGAAGUAAUGAAAGACUGCUGUUUAAAGCCACUGCAUUUUGGCAUGAUUUGUUAUGCAGUCGUAGAUAACCAGAAAACAUCGGAUUUACAUUUUAAGGUAAACUUUUUAUUGAAACAUCACAUACACACAGAGAC